This 404-nucleotide ribosomal RNA is filed under the name Verrucomicrobiota bacterium. Its description in RNAcentral is "Verrucomicrobia bacterium partial 16S ribosomal RNA". It matches the Rfam family "Bacterial small subunit ribosomal RNA", at positions 355 to 776 of the family's 1533-position model. The record is from RNAcentral. Lineage: Bacteria; Pseudomonadati; Verrucomicrobiota.
UGGGGAAUAUUGCACAAUGGGGGAAACCCUGAUGCAGCGACGCCGCGUGAGCGAUGAAGGCUUUCGAGUCGUAAAGCUCUUUCCUAUUGGAAGAUAAUGACGGUACCAUAGAAGAAAGCCCCGGCUAAUUACGUGUCAGCAGCCGCGGUAAUACGUAAGGGGCGAGCGUUGUCCGGAAUUAUUGGGCGUAAAGAGUGCGUAGGCGGCAAAUUAAGUCAGAUGUGAAAACUAAGGGCUCAACCCAUAGAUUGCAUCUGAAACUGAUAUGCUUGAGUCAAGGAGAGGAAAGUGGAAUUCCUAGUGUAGCGGUGGAAUGCGUAGAUAUUAGGAGGAAAACCGGUGGCGAAGGCGACUUUCUGAACUUGAACUGACGCUGAGGAACGAAAGCGUGGGGAGCAAACAGG